This 253-nucleotide ribosomal RNA is filed under the name uncultured bacterium. RNAcentral describes it as "partial 16S ribosomal RNA". It matches the Rfam family "Bacterial small subunit ribosomal RNA", at positions 524 to 776 of the family's 1533-position model. The record is from RNAcentral.
UACGUAGGGUGCGAGCGUUGUCCGGAAUUACUGGGCAUAAAGAGCUCGUAGGUGGUUUGUCGCGUUGUUCGUGAAAACCUGAGGCUUAACCUUGGGCGUGCGGGCGAUACGGGCAGACUGGAGUACUGCAGGGGAGACUGGAAUUCCUGGUGUAGCGGUGGAAUGCGCAGAUAUCAGGAGGAACACCGGUGGCGAAGGCGGGUCUCUGGGCAGUAACUGACGCUGAGGAGCGAAAGCGUGGGGAGCGAACAGG